RNAcentral lists this ribosomal RNA (253 nucleotides) under uncultured bacterium. Its description in RNAcentral is "partial 16S ribosomal RNA". It matches the Rfam family "Bacterial small subunit ribosomal RNA", at positions 524 to 776 of the family's 1533-position model. The record is from RNAcentral.
UACGUAGGGUGCGAGCGUUAAUCGGAAUUACUGGGCGUAAAGCGUGCGCAGGCGGUUUUGUAAGACAGACGUGAAAUCCCCGGGCUUAACCUGGGAACUGCGUUUGUGACUGCAAGACUAGAGUACGGCAGAGGGGGGUAGAAUUCCACGUGUAGCAGUGAAAUGCGUAGAUAUGUGGAGGAAUACCGAUGGCGAAGGCGGCUUCCUGGCUUAAAACUGACACUGUGGCGCGAAAGCGUGGGUAGCAAACAGG